Molecule: long non-coding RNA, 384 nt
Filed under: Lathyrus oleraceus (garden pea)
Lineage: Eukaryota; Viridiplantae; Streptophyta; Magnoliopsida; Fabales; Fabaceae
Description: Pisum sativum (pea) long non-coding RNA (PSAT_LNC002324)
Source: RNAcentral
UUAAAAUGAAUUAAAAAUAACCAGAAAAGAGAAAAUUCACAAAAAAUAUCAAAUGACAAAUAAAAAAAAAUUAAAAAUCAGAAAUAGAAACUAGAAUUUAUUUGGGAACUAAUGCAAUUGGUCCCAUAAUUUUUGGAUAAAAAAUGAAAGAGAUAUUGAUUUUUGAAAAUAAUUGGAAUUAAAGAAAAUAAAAGGAAAAUAAAACAGAAAAUAGAAAUUGUAAAAAGCGUGGACCGUCUGAUCUAAGCUCAUUAAUUGAGCUGGCAAAUCAAGAGGCCACGAAGCGCGCGCCUACCAUGGAUCCAAGUCAAUGCGUGCACAUGUGAAACAAUAGGAAGUCAUAACAAGCAAGGGACGAGAUUCAAUCUGGGAAAUAGAUCCAAU